UACGGAGGGUGCAAGCGUUAUCCGGAUUUAUUGGGUUUAAAGGGUCCGUAGGCGGAUCUGUAAGUCAGUGGUGAAAUCUCACAGCUUAACUGUGAAACUGCCAUUGAUACUGCAGGUCUUGAGUAAAGUAGAAGUGGCUGGAAUAAGUAGUGUAGCGGUGAAAUGCAUAGAUAUUACUUAGAACACCAAUUGCGAAGGCAGGUCACUAUGUUUUAACUGACGCUGAUGGACGAAAGCGUGGGGAGCGAACAGG
This 253-nucleotide ribosomal RNA is filed under the name uncultured bacterium. RNAcentral describes it as "partial 16S ribosomal RNA". It matches the Rfam family "Bacterial small subunit ribosomal RNA", at positions 524 to 776 of the family's 1533-position model. RNAcentral also lists the same sequence under 1 other name. The record is from RNAcentral.